GCCGGGAAAGGGAGCAAACAAAUGAACCAUUUGACAUUUUUUUGGCAAACAAGCGAUACAAAGUGUUUGUGAGGAAGUCUGCCUCAAGCACAAAAGUUGGAAUCAAAUUUAUUCACCUUCAUUACAAAAAAAGACAUUCUAUAGGAAAUAAAUGGCUAUAAGCUUGUAAAAUCCUGUUUUCUUACAGUACUAUUUCCACAUGGGAGAUUCACGUUAUUUUGUGAAGUGUGCCAUCUUGAAAGGCAUGGUGCACCAAGAGAAGUAGAGAACAAUUGAAGUCGUCGAAAGGAUGAUAAAUUAAAAACAUGUUGAAGCAUGACUAAUCUCGAGUAAGGAAGAUAUGGGAGUGGGUUUAGAAAUUAGUCCAGAUUUGCAAUGACAGCAUCCGUGAUUUCUUGGGUGGUGCAGUCUCCACCAAGAUCUUUGGUCAUGUAUUUACCUUCGGCAAUAACACGCUUCACUGAAGUCUCUAGUCUAUCUGCAAAUGAAGGGAACUGCAGAUGUCUCAACAUCAUGGCUGAUGAAAGAAACAAGGCAAUUGGGUUUGCCUUCUUUUGCUCUAGUAUCUUUUCAUUUCCUACAUUUCCUGCUGAAGCACCUUGCUCAAACACGGCAUGGUCAGCCCCCACAUUGCCUCCUGGCAUAACACCUGUGCCUCCAGCAAUACCAGCUGCUGUAUUUGCUACCAGAUUUCCGUAGAGAUUAGGGGUGACCAUAACAUCAAAUUGCUCAGGCUUUGAUACAAGUUGCAUGCAACAGUUGUCCACAAUUAUCUCAUUGUACUUGAUCCCAGGGUAUUUGCUUGCGAUCUCUCGACAAGACUCCAAAAAUAAACCAUCAGCAAGUUUCAUAAUGUUUGCCUUGUGCACAGCAGUCACUACCUUCCGAUUGUUGAGGUAUGCAUAUUCAAAGGCAUAUUUAGCAAUUCUUUCUGAGCAAAACUUUGUCAUCACCUUGAGACUCUCUACAACACCGGGAACAACCUCAUGCUCCAAUCCGGAAUAUUCGCCCUCAGUAUUCUCCCUAAUAACAACAAUAUCAACAUUCUCAUGACGCGUAGGAAGGCCUUUCAAGUUGAAGCAGUGAACAAGGGAAGCAUAUAGAUCAAGCUCUUUCCUAAGCUGAACAUUAAGAGAACUAACACCACCACCCACAGGCGUCUUCAACCCUCCUUUUAAACAGACCUUAUUCUUCCGGAUCGAAUCCAUCACAUCCGGAGGCAUAUUCUUCAUGUCUCCAUGAACAUCAUAACGCUCAAAGUACACAGGAGCGUGCAUCGCCUCCAUGACUUGUUCAACAGCACCGGUUACUAGAGGUCCGAUCCCGUCACCGGGGAUGAGUGUGACGGCGCGUGGAGUGCCAUCACCGGGUCGGGGCAUGUAGGUAACGGAUCGAACGGAUGUUAAGGCAUGAGAUGGAGAUGGAGAGGGAGAUGAGGAGGUGAGGAAGUGCUUGAGGAUGGGUAGGGUUCGCUUAGCCAUUGAUCGGAAAUGGUAGAGGAAGUUUGACUAUUGGGGCAUGGAAAUUAGGGUGAGAGGGAAGGGAAGGGAAGGGAAGAGACAGGUGAUGAAAGGGGAAAAGGGAAGGAAAGGAAGAGGAAAAAGGAGAUGCCGGAAGACUCACCACUGACGGCCCACGAGAGAAAAGGGAGGGGCAAUAUGUCAACUAGUA
This 1671-nucleotide unclassified non-coding RNA is filed under the name Hevea brasiliensis (rubber tree). The record is from RNAcentral. Lineage: Eukaryota; Viridiplantae; Streptophyta; Magnoliopsida; Malpighiales; Euphorbiaceae.